AGUAUGGCCGAGGGUCAUGGUGGUGGUCAUGGUCAUGGUCAUGGAGGUGGUCAUGGAGGUGGAAAGGGUCAUGGCGGCAAAGGUCAUGGUGGUGGCCAUGGGGGCAAGGGACACGGAGGCCAUGGUGGCGGACACGGGGGCAAAGGACAUGGAGGCGGCCAUGGAGGAAAGGGGCACCAUGGAUAAACAUAGCAGCUGAAAGAUGUGUCACGAGAAAGCCCUUGUUUUUUUAUUCCACUGCUGCUGGACAACGGGGAAACAACAACUCAUGUAAAACAUGAUGAUGUUGUAUUUUGUUUGACCAGACCUCUGAAUAAAAAUACACUCCAAAGUGUUAAAUCUGA
Molecule: long non-coding RNA, 344 nt
Organism: Haliotis rufescens (red abalone)
Lineage: Eukaryota; Metazoa; Mollusca; Gastropoda; Lepetellida; Haliotidae
Exons: 2
Source: RefSeq, a predicted model, not a curated record